This 411-nucleotide ribosomal RNA is filed under the name uncultured soil bacterium. Its description in RNAcentral is "bacterial SSU rRNA". It matches the Rfam family "Bacterial small subunit ribosomal RNA", at positions 26 to 438 of the family's 1533-position model. The record is from RNAcentral.
AGGACGAACGCUGGCGGCGUGCUUAACACAUGCAAGUCGAGCGGUAAGGCCUUUCGGGGUACACGAGCGGCGAACGGGUGAGUAACACGUGGGUGAUCUGCCCUGCACUCUGGGAUAAGCCUGGGAAACUGGGUCUAAUACCGGAUAUGACCUGCUCUCGCAUGGGGGGUGGGUGGAAAGAUUUAUCGGUGCAGGAUGGGCCCGCGGCCUAUCAGCUUGUUGGUGGGUAAUGGCCUACCGAAGGCGACGACGGGUAGCCGACCUGAGAGGGUGACCGGCCACACUGGGACUGAGACACGGCCCAGACUCCGUACGGGAGCAGCAGUGGGAAUAUGCAACAAGUGGGACAAAGCCUGAUGCAGCGACGCCGCGUGAGGGUGAACGGUCCGUUCGGGUCGUAAACCUCUUCAG